GACGAACGCUGGCGGCGUGCUUAACACAUGCAAGUCGAGCGGUAAGGCCCUUUCGGGGGUACGACGAGCGGCGAACGGGUGAGUAACACGUGGGUGACCUGCCCUCAGCUCUGGGAUAAGCCUGGGAAACCGGGUCUAAUACUGGAUAUGACUCCAUGACGCAUGUUGUGGGGUGGAAAGCCUUGUGCGGCUGAGGAUGGGCCCGCGGCCUAUCAGCUUGUUGGUGGGGNGAUGGCCUACCAAGGCGACGACGGGUAGCCGGCCUGAGAGGGCGACCGGCCACACUGGGACUGAGACACGGCCCAGACUCCUACGGGAGGCAGCAGUGGGGAAUCUUGCGCAAUGGGCGAAAGCCUGACGCAGCGACGCCGCGUGAGGGAUGACGGCCUGGUGUAACU
RNAcentral lists this ribosomal RNA (398 nucleotides) under uncultured bacterium. Its description in RNAcentral is "bacterial SSU rRNA". It matches the Rfam family "Bacterial small subunit ribosomal RNA", at positions 28 to 430 of the family's 1533-position model. The record is from RNAcentral.